This 253-nucleotide ribosomal RNA is filed under the name uncultured bacterium. RNAcentral's name for it is "partial 16S ribosomal RNA". It matches the Rfam family "Bacterial small subunit ribosomal RNA", at positions 524 to 776 of the family's 1533-position model. The record is from RNAcentral.
GACGAGGGAUCCUAGCGUUGUUCGGAAUCAUUGGGCGUAAAGCGGGUGUAGGCGGAUUUAUAAGUCAGGUGUGAAAUCCCAGAGCUCAACUCUGGAAGUGCACUUGAUACUGUAAAUCUUGAAUGUGGUAGAGGUUACUGGAAUUCCUGGUGUAGUGGUGAAAUACGUAGAUAUCAGGAGGAAUACCGGAGGCGAAGGCGAGUAACUGGGCCAACAUUGACGCUGAGACCCGAAAGCGUGGGGAUCAAACAGG